ACGCACGCUGGCGGCGUGCCUAAUCCAUGCAAGUAGCACGCUGAAGGAGGAGCUUGCUCUUCUGGAUGAGUUGCGAACGGGUGAGUAACGCGUAGGUAACCUGCCUGGUAGCGGGGGAUAACUAUUGGAAACGAUAGCUAAUACCGCAUAACAGUAGAUGUUGCAUGACAUUUACUUAAAAGGUGCAAUUGCAUCACUACCAGAUGGACCUGCGUUGUAUUAGCUAGUUGGUGGGGUAACGGCUCACCAAGGCGACGAUACAUAGCCGACCUGAGAGGGUGAUCGGCCACACUGGGACUGAGACACGGCCCAGACUCCUACGGGAGGCAGCAGUAGGGAAUCUUCGGCAAUGGACGGAAGUCUGACCGAGCAACGCCGCGUGAGUGAAGAAGGUUUUCGGAUCGUAAAGCUCUGUUGUAAGAGAAGAACGAGUGUGAGAGUGGAAAGUUCACACUGUGACGGUAUCUUACCAGAAAGGGACGGCUAACUACGUG
This 494-nucleotide ribosomal RNA is filed under the name uncultured bacterium. Its description in RNAcentral is "partial 16S ribosomal RNA". It matches the Rfam family "Bacterial small subunit ribosomal RNA", at positions 29 to 507 of the family's 1533-position model. The record is from RNAcentral.